AACGAACGCUGGCGGCAUGCCUAACACAUGCAAGUCGAACGAGACCUUCGGGUCUAGUGGCGCACGGGUGCGUAACGCGUGGGAACCUGCCCUUAGGUUCGGAAUAACUUCCCGAAAGGGGUGCUAAUACCGGAUAAUGUCUUCGGACCAAAGAUUUAUCGCCUUUGGAUGGGCCCGCGUUGGAUUAGCUAGUUGGUAGGGUAAAAGCCUACCAAGGCGACGAUCCAUAGCUGGACUGAGAGGAUGAUCAGCCACACUGGGACUGAGACACGGCCCAGACUCCUACGGGAGGCAGGAGUGGGGAAUAUUGGACAAUGGGCGAAAGCCUGAUCCAGCAAUGCCGCGUGAGUGAUGAAGGCCUUAGGGUUGUAAAGCUCUUUUACCCGGGAUGAUAAUGACAGUACCGGGAGAAUAAGCUCCGGCUAACUCCGUG
This 433-nucleotide ribosomal RNA is filed under the name uncultured bacterium. RNAcentral's name for it is "partial 16S ribosomal RNA". It matches the Rfam family "Bacterial small subunit ribosomal RNA", at positions 29 to 507 of the family's 1533-position model. The record is from RNAcentral.